RNAcentral lists this ribosomal RNA (497 nucleotides) under uncultured bacterium. RNAcentral describes it as "partial 16S ribosomal RNA". It matches the Rfam family "Bacterial small subunit ribosomal RNA", at positions 28 to 507 of the family's 1533-position model. The record is from RNAcentral.
GACGAACGCUGGCGGCGUGCCUAAUACAUGCAAGUUGAGCGCUGAAGGCUGGUACUUGUACCAACUGGAUGAGCAGCGAACGGGUGAGUAACGCGUGGGGAAUCUGCCUUUGAGCAGGGGACAACAUUUGGAAACGAAUGCUAAUACCGCAUAAAAACUUUAAACAAAAGUUUUAAGUUUGAAAGAUGCAAUUGCAUCACUCAAAGAUGAUCCCGCGUUGUAUUAGCUAGUUGGUGAGGUAAAGGCUCACCAAGGCGAUGAUACAUAGCCGACCUGAGAGGGUGAUCGGCCACAUUGGGACUGAGACACGGCCCAAACUCCUACGGGAGGCAGCAGUAGGGAAUCUUCGGCAAUGGACGAAAGUCUGACCGAGCAACGCCGCGUGAGUGAAGAAGGUUUUCGGAUCGUAAAACUCUGUUGGUAGAGAAGAACGUUGGUGAGAGUGGAAAGCUCACCAAGUGACGGUAACUACCCAGAAAGGGACGGCUAACUACGUG